GCCAACGGGUGCUGUGGUGGGCGGCUGUGAGCCAGUGUAUAGGCGGCAGAUUGGUGUGGAUGGAGUGAGGGGAGGAGUCCCGCUGUGGCCGUGGAGUGUGGCGACCGGACGUCCGUGUCAAGCGUUGUGUCGCCAGGGUUGUGCCGUCGGAGGACGGCACCACCCCGGCUGGUUAAGGAGUGGUGUACGGCUCAGGAUCGAAAGGGAGCUGGCAAAAAUCCACCACCCCAGACAGUGGCCGGAGAGCGCCCGUGAGCACCUGCUGUGUCGUGGGCUCUCCGAUACCUCCAGACCUCCAGUCGU
Molecule: non-coding RNA, 303 nt
Organism: Dictyocaulus viviparus (bovine lungworm)
Lineage: Eukaryota; Metazoa; Nematoda; Chromadorea; Rhabditida; Metastrongylidae
Source: Rfam